Molecule: ribosomal RNA, 1535 nt
Filed under: Streptococcus pneumoniae GA49138
Lineage: Bacteria; Bacillati; Bacillota; Bacilli; Lactobacillales; Streptococcaceae
Description: bacterial SSU rRNA
Rfam family: Bacterial small subunit ribosomal RNA
Source: RNAcentral
AGAGUUUGAUCCUGGCUCAGGACGAACGCUGGCGGCGUGCCUAAUACAUGCAAGUAGAACGCUGAAGGAGGAGCUUGCUUCUCUGGAUGAGUUGCGAACGGGUGAGUAACGCGUAGGUAACCUGCCUGGUAGCGGGGGAUAACUAUUGGAAACGAUAGCUAAUACCGCAUAAGAGUGGAUGUUGCAUGACAUUUGCUUAAAAGGUGCACUUGCAUCACUACCAGAUGGACCUGCGUUGUAUUAGCUAGUUGGUGGGGUAAGGGCUCACCAAGGCGACGAUACAUAGCCGACCUGAGAGGGUGAUCGGCCACACUGGGACUGAGACACGGCCCAGACUCCUACGGGAGGCAGCAGUAGGGAAUCUUCGGCAAUGGACGGAAGUCUGACCGAGCAACGCCGCGUGAGUGAAGAAGGUUUUCGGAUCGUAAAGCUCUGUUGUAAGAGAAGAACGAGUGUGAGAGUGGAAAGUUCACACUGUGACGGUAUCUUACCAGAAAGGGACGGCUAACUACGUGCCAGCAGCCGCGGUAAUACGUAGGUCCCGAGCGUUGUCCGGAUUUAUUGGGCGUAAAGCGAGCGCAGGCGGUUAGAUAAGUCUGAAGUUAAAGGCUGUGGCUUAACCAUAGUAGGCUUUGGAAACUGUUUAACUUGAGUGCAAGAGGGGAGAGUGGAAUUCCAUGUGUAGCGGUGAAAUGCGUAGAUAUAUGGAGGAACACCGGUGGCGAAAGCGGCUCUCUGGCUUGUAACUGACGCUGAGGCUCGAAAGCGUGGGGAGCAAACAGGAUUAGAUACCCUGGUAGUCCACGCUGUAAACGAUGAGUGCUAGGUGUUAGACCCUUUCCGGGGUUUAGUGCCGUAGCUAACGCAUUAAGCACUCCGCCUGGGGAGUACGACCGCAAGGUUGAAACUCAAAGGAAUUGACGGGGGCCCGCACAAGCGGUGGAGCAUGUGGUUUAAUUCGAAGCAACGCGAAGAACCUUACCAGGUCUUGACAUCCCUCUGACCGCUCUAGAGAUAGAGUUUUCCUUCGGGACAGAGGUGACAGGUGGUGCAUGGUUGUCGUCAGCUCGUGUCGUGAGAUGUUGGGGUUAAGUCCCGCAACGAGCGCAACCCCUAUUGUUAGUUGCCAUCAUUUAGUUGGGCACUCUAGCGAGACUGCCGGUAAUAAACCGGAGGAAGGUGGGGAUGACGUCAAAUCAUCAUGCCCCUUAUGACCUGGGCUACACACGUGCUACAAUGGCUGGUACAACGAGUCGCAAGCCGGUGACGGCAAGCUAAUCUCUUAAAGCCAGUCUCAGUUCGGAUUGUAGGCUGCAACUCGCCUACAUGAAGUCGGAAUCGCUAGUAAUCGCGGAUCAGCACGCCGCGGUGAAUACGUUCCCGGGCCUUGUACACACCGCCCGUCACACCACGAGAGUUUGUAACACCCGAAGUCGGUGAGGUAACCGUAAGGAGCCAGCCGCCUAAGGUGGGAUAGAUGAUUGGGGUGAAGUCGUAACAAGGUAGCCGUAUCGGAAGGUGCGGCUGGAUCACCU